This 521-nucleotide ribosomal RNA is filed under the name uncultured Pseudomonadota bacterium. RNAcentral's name for it is "bacterial SSU rRNA". It matches the Rfam family "Bacterial small subunit ribosomal RNA", at positions 8 to 522 of the family's 1533-position model. Lineage: Bacteria; Pseudomonadati; Pseudomonadota. The record is from RNAcentral.
AGAGUUUGAUCAUGGCUCAGAUUGAACGCUGGCGGCAGGCCUAACACAUGCAAGUCGAGCGGCAGCACGGGUACUUGUACCUGGUGGCGAGCGGCGGACGGGUGAGUAAUGCCUAGGAAUCUGCCUGGUAGUGGGGGAUAACGUUCGGAAACGAACGCUAAUACCGCAUACGUCCUACGGGAGAAAGCAGGGGACCUUCGGGCCUUGCGCUAUCAGAUGAGCCUAGGUCGGAUUAGCUAGUUGGUGAGGUAAUGGCUCACCAAGGCGACGAUCCGUAACUGGUCUGAGAGGAUGAUCAGUCACACUGGAACUGAGACACGGUCCAGACUCCUACGGGAGGCAGCAGUGGGGAAUAUUGGACAAUGGGCGAAAGCCUGAUCCAGCCAUGCCGCGUGUGUGAAGAAGGUCUUCGGAUUGUAAAGCACUUUAAGUUGGGAGGAAGGGCAGUUACCUAAUACGUAAUUGUUUUGACGUUACCGACAGAAUAAGCACCGGCUAACUCUGUGCCAGCAGCCGCGGUA